AAGGAUGAAAAUGUCAUAAAUUUGGUCACCAGAUGCACUUUUACUCCCAAAAAAGAUGAAGAAAACGUACUAUCAGGAUGUAGUUAUCACAUCAUUCUGAUGCAUCCAACUCUUUCCCUGAAAUCCCUUCUGAACCAAUAGACCAACUCCAGUUUGAUUGAAAUAAGCCUUGUAUGUUGAUAGCUCUCCAGUGUCAGCUUCCAUGCUUCCCCCCUCCUCCUCCUCCUCCUCCUCCUCCUCCUCCGCCCUCCAAUUUCUUCUUCCUCCAUAUCACACUUUGCAGGCCUGCUACUAGCCAUUUUCAGUUCAGCAAUCAGCAUGCUACACCAAAGGAAAAAAAAAAGUUUUGGUAAUUGAUUUACUAAAUAUAUAUCAAGAAUGCAGAUUAAAAAAAUAUCAAAACUGCCUUGAAGAUGAACAAGCUAAAUUGUUACCUUCCUUUCUGCAGUCUGGGCAAGAGAAGAUCAAAAACUUAUGUUUGAGAAACUUGGGGAGAACCAAC
This 502-nucleotide long non-coding RNA is filed under the name Coffea arabica (coffee). Its description in RNAcentral is "long non-coding RNA (CARA_LNC000439)". The record is from RNAcentral. Lineage: Eukaryota; Viridiplantae; Streptophyta; Magnoliopsida; Gentianales; Rubiaceae.